GGUUAAGUGAAUAAGGGCGCACGGUGGAUGCCUUGGCACUAGGAGCCGAUGAAGGACGGGACUAACACCGAUAUGCUUUGGGGAGCUGUACGUAAGCUAUGAUCCAGAGAUUUCCGAAUGGGGGAACCCAACAUCUUUAAUAGGAUGUUACGAUUGUGUGAAUACAUAGCACAUUCGAGGUAGACGCAGAGAACUGAAACAUCUAAGUACCUGCAGGAAGAGAAAGAAAAUUCGAUUCCCUGAGUAGCGGCGAGCGAAACGGGAAAAGCCCAAACCAGCAAGCUUGCUUGUUGGGGUUGUAGGACUCCAAUAUGGUAGUUCUUUCAGAUAGUCGAAUGACUUGGAAAAGUCAGUCAAAGAGGGUAAAAACCCCGUAGACGAAAUGUGGAAGACACCUAGGAGGAUCCUGAGUACGGCGGAACACGAGAAAUUCCGUCGGAAUCCGGGAGGACCAUCUCCCAAGGCUAAAUACUCCCUAGUGACCGAUAGUGAACCAGUACCGUGAGGGAAAGGUGAAAAGCACCCCGGAAGGGGAGUGAAAUAGAACCUGAAACCGUGUGCCUACAACAAGUCAAAGCCCGUUAAUGGGUGAUGGCGUGCCUUUUGUAGAAUGAACCGGCGAGUUACGAUUGCAUGCGAGGUUAAGUUGAAGAGACGGAGCCGCAGCGAAAGCGAGUCUGAAUAGGGCGUUUGAGUAUGUAGUCGUAGACCCGAAACCAUGUGAUCUACCCAUGUCCAGGUUGAAGGUGCGGUAAAACGCACUGGAGGACCGAACCCACGUACGUUGAAAAGUGCGGGGAUGAGGUGUGGGUAGCGGAGAAAUUCCAAACGAACUUGGAGAUAGCUGGUUCUCUCCGAAAUAGCUUUAGGGCUAGCCUCGGAAUUGAGAAUGAUGGAGGUAGAGCACUGUUUGGACUAGGGGCCCAUCUCGGGUUACCGAAUUCAGAUAAACUCCGAAUGCCAUUCAUUCAUAUCCGGGAGUCAGACUGUGAGUGAUAAGAUCCAUAGUCGAAAGGGAAACAGCCCAGACCACCAGCUAAGGUCCCAAAAUAUAUGUUAAGUGGAAAAGGAUGUGGGGUUGCACAGACAACUAGGAUGUUGGCUUAGAAGCAGCCACCAUUUAAAGAGUGCGUAAUAGCUCACUAGUCGAGUGACCCUGCGCCGAAAAUGUACCGGGGCUAAACAUAUUACCGAAGCUGUGGAGUACACCUUUAGGUGUAUUGGUAGGAGAGCGUUCUAAGGGCGUUGAAGGCAGAUCGUGAGGACUGCUGGAGCGCUUAGAAGUGAGAAUGCCGGUAUGAGUAGCGAAAGACAGGUGAGAAUCCUGUCCACCGAAUGACUAAGGUUUCCUGGGGAAGGCUCGUCCGCCCAGGGUUAGUCGGGACCUAAGCCGAGGCCGACAGGCGUAGGCGAUGGAUAACAGGUUGAUAUUCCUGUACCCGUUGUUUUUGUUUGAGCAAUGGAGGGACGCAGGAGGCUAAGGAAUGCAGACGAUCGGAAAUGUCUGUCCAAGCAGUAAGUCUGAAGAGGAGUCAAAUGCUUCUUUUCUUAAGGACAAGCUGUGAUGGGGAGGGAAAUAAUAGUACCGAAGUUCCUGAUGUCACACUGCCGAGAAAAGCUUCUAGUGAGAAAACAGCGGCCCGUACCGCAAACCGACACAGGUAGUCGAGGAGAGAAUCCUAAGGUGAGCGAGAGAACUCUCGUUAAGGAACUCGGCAAAAUGACCCCGUAACUUCGGGAGAAGGGGUGCUGAUCAUACGAUCAGCCGCAGUGAAUAGGCCCAAGCGACUGUUUAUCAAAAACACAGGUCUCUGCAAAAUCGUAAGAUGAAGUAUAGGGGCUGACGCCUGCCCGGUGCUGGAAGGUUAAGAGGAGUGCUUAGCGCAAGCGAAGGUACGAAUUGAAGCCCCAGUAAACGGCGGCCGUAACUAUAACGGUCCUAAGGUAGCGAAAUUCCUUGUCGGGUAAGUUCCGACCCGCACGAAAGGCGUAACGAUUUGGGCACUGUCUCAACGAGAGACUCGGUGAAAUUUUAGUACCUGUGAAGAUGCAGGUUACCCGCGACAGGACGGAAAGACCCCAUGGAGCUUUACUGUAGUUUGAUAUUGAGUGUCUGUACCGCAUGUACAGGAUAGGUAGGAGCCGUAGAAAUCGGAACGCUAGUUUCGAUGGAGGCGCUGGUGGGAUACUACCCCUGCGUUAUGGCCACUCUAACCCGCACCACUAAUCGUGGUGGGAGACAGUGUCAGAUGGGCAGUUUGACUGGGGCGGUCGCCUCCUAAAAGGUAACGGAGGCGCCCAAAGGUUCCCUCAGAAUGGUUGGAAAUCAUUCGAAGAGUGUAAAGGCAGAAGGGAGCUUGACUGCGA
This 2367-nucleotide ribosomal RNA is filed under the name Enterococcus faecium. RNAcentral's name for it is "partial 23S ribosomal RNA". It matches the Rfam family "Bacterial large subunit ribosomal RNA", at positions 1 to 2378 of the family's 2925-position model. The record is from RNAcentral. Lineage: Bacteria; Bacillati; Bacillota; Bacilli; Lactobacillales; Enterococcaceae.